This 253-nucleotide ribosomal RNA is filed under the name uncultured bacterium. RNAcentral's name for it is "partial 16S ribosomal RNA". It matches the Rfam family "Bacterial small subunit ribosomal RNA", at positions 524 to 776 of the family's 1533-position model. The record is from RNAcentral.
GACGUAGGGUGCGAGCGUUGUCCGGAUUUAUUGGGCGUAAAGAGCUCGUAGGCGGCUCGUCGCGUCAGCUGUGAAAACCCGCAGCUUAACUGUGGGCUUGCAGCUGAUACGGGCGGGCUAGAGUUCGGUAGGGGAGACUGGAACUCCUGGUGUAGCGGUGAAAUGCGCAGAUAUCAGGAGGAACACCGGUGGCGAAGGCGGGUCUCUGGGCCGAUACUGACGCUGAGGAGCGAAAGCGUGGGGAGCGAACAGG